RNAcentral lists this non-coding RNA (96 nucleotides) under human gut metagenome. RNAcentral describes it as "pemK RNA". It matches the Rfam family "pemK RNA". The record is from RNAcentral.
ACAAUGGUACUUCUGUCCAGUCACAGCCCCGGGUGGUACCGGGAUCACGCAAUGAGGGCAGUCCGGAGAGAUCCUCGGGAGGGUGAGAAGCCCAUG